Molecule: ribosomal RNA, 253 nt
Filed under: uncultured bacterium
Lineage: Bacteria
Description: partial 16S ribosomal RNA
Rfam family: Bacterial small subunit ribosomal RNA
Source: RNAcentral
UACGGGGGGGGCAAGCGUUGUUCGGAAUUACUGGGCGUAAAGGGCUCGUAGGCGGCCAACUAAGUCGGACGUGAAAUCCCCAGGCUCAACCUGGGAACUGCGUCCGAUACUGGAUGGCUUGAAUUCGGGAGAGGGAUGCAGAAUUCCAGGUGUAGCGGUGAAAUGCGUAGAUAUCUGGAGGAAUACCGGUGGCGAAGGCGGCAUCCUGGACCGGCAUUGACGCUGAUGAGCGAAAGCUAGGGGAGCAAGCGGG